This 404-nucleotide ribosomal RNA is filed under the name uncultured bacterium. RNAcentral's name for it is "partial 16S ribosomal RNA". It matches the Rfam family "Bacterial small subunit ribosomal RNA", at positions 30 to 526 of the family's 1533-position model. The record is from RNAcentral.
AUUGAACGCUGGCGGCAGGCCUAACACAUGCAAGUCGAGCGAGCCGCGGACGUGUGAGAAAUCUCUGGGAAUUCCCCAGGCGAGGGGGAUCACAUUGGGACACGACCUCUAAUACCACAUACGAUUAGAUUGCCGAGGUGGGAUUAGCUAGUUGGUGGGGUAAUGGCUCACCAACGGGACGAUCCAUCGCUGGUCUGAGAGGAUGAUCAGCCACACUGGAACUGAGACACGGUCCAGACUCCUACGGGAGGCAGCAGUGGGGAAUAUUGCACAAUGGGGGAAAGCCUGAUGCAGCCAUGCCGCGUGUGUGAAGAAGGCCUUCGGGUUGUAAAGUACUUUCAGCGAGGAGGCGUUACUCGCAGAAGAAGCACCGGCUAACUCCGUGCCAGCAGCCGCGGUAAUAC